UGCGUAGGCGGAUUAAUAAGUCAGUGGUGAAAUCUUUCGGCUCAACCGAGAAACUGCCAUUGAUACUGUUGAUCUUGAGUUCGGUUGAGGUAGGCGGAAUGUGUAAUGUAGCGGUGAAAUGCUUAGAUAUUACACAGAACACCAAUUGCGUAGGCAGCUUACUAGACCGACACUGACGCUGAGGCACGAAAGCGUGGGGAGCGAACAGGAUUAGACACCCUGGUAGUCC
RNAcentral lists this ribosomal RNA (229 nucleotides) under uncultured bacterium. RNAcentral's name for it is "partial 16S ribosomal RNA". It matches the Rfam family "Bacterial small subunit ribosomal RNA", at positions 568 to 796 of the family's 1533-position model. The record is from RNAcentral.